CAGAGAGAGAGAGAGAUAAAGAGGGAAGGAGUUGGAAAGAAAAGAGGCAGAACCUGAAAGUAACUUUCGAUGAACGAAUGUACAUUCCAGGCUCUGCUUCUGUUGAGAGAGAAAUAAAAGGGGUCAGUGCUCUAAAAUGAGUCUCUCUGGGGAGAGAGAGGAGGGGGGCCCUGCCUCUGAAAUGGAUCUCUCUGGGGAACAUGACACCAAAGCUAAGAGAAACCAACAGGAGAGAUCAGAGUCAGACAUUCUCAGUGGUCAGUCUUCCCAGAGUCAUCAAACAGACCUGGCCUCCAUGUUCAGU
Molecule: non-coding RNA, 304 nt
Organism: Salmo salar (Atlantic salmon)
Lineage: Eukaryota; Metazoa; Chordata; Actinopteri; Salmoniformes; Salmonidae
Source: RefSeq, a predicted model, not a curated record